UACGGAGGGUGCAAGCGUUAAUCGGAAUUACUGGGCGUAAAGCGCAUGCAGGCGGUUUGUUAAGCGAGAUGUGAAAGCCCCGGGCUCAACCUGGGAACUGCAUUUCGAACUGGCAAACUAGAGUUCUUGAGAGGGUGGUAGAAUUUCAGGUGUAGCGGUGAAAUGCGUAGAGAUCUGAAGGAAUACCAGUGGCGAAGGCG
Molecule: ribosomal RNA, 200 nt
Filed under: uncultured bacterium
Lineage: Bacteria
Description: partial 16S ribosomal RNA
Rfam family: Bacterial small subunit ribosomal RNA
Source: RNAcentral